GGUGGAGAGCAAGACUCCAUCUCGGAAGAAAAAAAAAGAGAUAAGUGAUAGAGGUUGAUAUUUGUUAAAUAUCAAGUGAGCGAAUAGGUUUGUGCUAUAAAAGUUAAGAGACAUAAUUAAUUGCUUAGUGAACGCUGGAGGCAGUUCACAAAGGCCUCAGAGAAGAUCACACAUAUUUUGUGUCUUGAAAGAUGGUGAGACUUAAAUAAACGCAGAAAAUAUUCCAGGCACAAGAAAACUAUCAAAAAAUACAGAAAGGAAAAUAUAAAGAGGGCUGUUUGAGUUACAAUAAAUCAGUUUGACUUGCAUGAAAGUCAAGAAGAAGUUUUAAGAACUUGGAGUCUUCUUAAAUGCCAAGCAAGGAAAUUUGGGCUUUAGACAGAGUAGAUAUUAGGAGCAUAAAAACAGGUGAUUUGCUUCAAACUGUAUUUUAACGGGACCACCAGGAGUUGAUUCAAACUCAGAAUAGUCGGGCCAGCUGCCUUGUGGACCGACUUUCCCCCUUCUCAUUGGCCUUGUGCUUUGAAAAAAAUUCUCUUGACAAAGUUAUUAGAGUAGAAACAAAAGGCAGAACUGAUAAGAUUAGUCCUUUUCUAAUGGAACCAGAAAAGAAGGGGCAGAAAUGAAGGCAGAAGGGAGAAGCGGGGGUGGGGGGAGAGAGAGAAGCAAAAAGGAUUCACUCAAGAACCUGGUAUUCAAAACUAUGUGUACCAGCACUACCACAGCGGUAUGACUCAGUGUCCACCUAAAGCAUGAUAAUACUGCUUACCAAAAAAAAGUAUGGAGGGAAUGAAAAGUUGGGUUAGUUUUAAGUGAUGCGUCACAGAACAGAAUUCAGUGGUAAAAAGCUUAGGCUGGGAAAAGAGCUUGAAACAGCAAAGGAAUGAGAGGAACGACCCAAAAGCCAAGGGCCAUAUAGUGAUGUCUGAAAAAUCAGAAUCAAGUAAUAAUAUUGAAUACUGCAAAAGUCAGAGAAAAUGCGGAAUAAGAAAGCAAGCGAUCUGGAAAGUGGCGAGUAAGAUGGAAUAUGAGGAGGUCGCUGAGAGCUGGGAGGAGGCGGUAGACAGCGGGGAAAUAGACGUCUGGAAAAAAAAUGAAGAUCACACAAAAACAGCAGGAAAUCCAAAUCUCCCAAAGUGCCCAUGGUGAUUCAGGACGAUAGUUUUCCCCAGGUACCCCCUCCACCGCAUCCUCAAGAGGCCCACCAGCAACGGUGUGGUCAACAGCCCCAGGUCCGCUAGCAGACCCGCCCUUCCAGUCAAGUCCCUGGCACAGCGGGAGGCCGAGUACGCCGAGACUCGGAAGCGGAUCCUGGGCAGCGCCGGCCCGGAGGAGAAGCAGGAGAAACCCAUCCUCGAUAGGCCUUUCUCUGAUCUUUUUCCCUUCAGGCUAACCAGGAUCUCCCAACCCGAAGACAGCAGGCAGCCCAAUAAUGUGAUCAGACAGCCUCUGGGUCCUGAUGGGUCACAAGACUUCAAACAGCGCAGAUAAAUGCAGGCAAGAAGAUAUGGCGCGACUGCCGCGUCAACGCUUCCUGCGUCGUCCGCCAAGGGUUGCACUUUCGUGGCGGACAGCUGGACUUGAGCAGCGGGAACCUGACUUACUUGCCCGGUGAUCCCCGUUGCUCCGCCACUGUGACCUUGAACCCCAUGCACUGUGACCUCCCCCCUUCUCCCCUUCCCACUGUGAUUGGCACUUCGACAAGGACUGUCCCAAGUCAAUGGAAAGGGAAAGGGUGGGGGUUAGGAGAAGGUUAGGGGGAACCCACCAAGUACUCAGAGAGUCAGACAGGGCCAGAAAUAACGGUUUAUCAUGCUCGUUAAUUUGGGAUUUCAAAACACAAAUGAACUCACACCUAUCCACCCCAAGUGCAUGUCUUCAUCACUUAAAAAGUGAGUUCCCUUUGAAAAAAAAAAAAGAAAGCAAACCAUCUGCUCACUCUAAAAGCAGUUGCUAUUGUUUAUGACUUUACCAUUUAAAAAAAUACAGACCAGCUGCUGCUGUUUGCUUGCAUUCCACAGUUAUCCUGUGUCACUUUGCCCUUUGUUGUGCUUACUUGAAGUUUCUCUAGAGGCAAACUGCUUAUUUUUAGUAGCGUUGUUCUUGAUGCCCAAGAGGUGUUUCAAGAGGUUGAGAUACUUAGAGUGUCUUUAUAUUCUUUGGGACAUAAACUCUGCAAAACAAGGCUCACACCUGUAAUCCCAGCAUU
RNA transcript from Cercocebus atys (sooty mangabey), 2209 nucleotides. It is a transcript of the gene named SUZ domain-containing protein 1 pseudogene, with no coding region annotated. The transcript has a single exon. The record is from RefSeq and is a predicted model, not a curated record. Lineage: Eukaryota; Metazoa; Chordata; Mammalia; Primates; Cercopithecidae.